This 254-nucleotide ribosomal RNA is filed under the name uncultured bacterium. RNAcentral's name for it is "partial 16S ribosomal RNA". It matches the Rfam family "Bacterial small subunit ribosomal RNA", at positions 524 to 776 of the family's 1533-position model. The record is from RNAcentral.
UACAGAGGUCUCGAGCGUUAGGCGGAAUCACUGGGCGUAAAGCGCACGUAGGCGGGCUCUUAAGUCGGUGGUGAAAUCCUGGAGCUCAACUCCAGAACUGCCUCCGAUACUGAGAGUCUUCGAGUCCGGGAGAGGUGAGUGGAACUGCGAGUGUAGAGGUGAAAUUCGUAGAUAUUCGCAAGAACACCAGUGGCGAAGGCGGCUCACUGGCCCGGUACUGACGCUGAGGUGCGAAAGCGUGGGGAGCAAACAGG